CCUACGGGAGGCUGCAGUGGGGAAUAUUGGACAAUGGGGGGAACCCUGAUCCAGCCAUGCCGCGUGUGUGAAGAAGGCCCUCGGGUUGUAAAGCACUUUCAGUGAGGAAGAACGCCUGGUGGUUAAUACCCAUCAGGAAAGACAUCACUCACAGAAGAAGCACCUGCUAACUCCGUGCCAGCAGCCGCGGUAAUACGGAGGGUGCGAGCGUUAAUCGGAAUUACUGGGCGUAAAGCGCGCGUAGGUGGCUUGAUAAGCCGGUUGUGAAAGCCCCGGGCUCAACCUGGGAACGGCAUCCGGAACUGUCAAGCUAGAGUGCAGGAGAGGAAGGUAGAAUUCCCGGUGUAGCGGUGAAAUGCGUAGAGAUCGGGAGGAAUACCAGUGGCGAAGGCGGCCUUCUGGACUGACACUGACACUGAGGUGCGAAAGCGUGGGUAGCAAACAGGAUUAGAUACCCUGGUAGUC
RNAcentral lists this ribosomal RNA (465 nucleotides) under Vreelandella stevensii. Its description in RNAcentral is "partial 16S ribosomal RNA". It matches the Rfam family "Bacterial small subunit ribosomal RNA", at positions 338 to 795 of the family's 1533-position model. The record is from RNAcentral. Lineage: Bacteria; Pseudomonadati; Pseudomonadota; Gammaproteobacteria; Oceanospirillales; Halomonadaceae.